Dasypus novemcinctus (nine-banded armadillo) is the source of this 5043-nucleotide long non-coding RNA. The record is from Ensembl. Lineage: Eukaryota; Metazoa; Chordata; Mammalia; Cingulata; Dasypodidae.
CUCACCACCCUCGGCCCACCCCCAGCCCCGGCGGUGGGUCGGGACUAAACUCGCCCCCCCUCCCCAAGUCGGCACCUGUGCGGCUCCUGGCGGAGGGAGGCGGAUCCCGGGGCUCAGCCGGACACCCCCAUCCACGGGCCGCGGCGACCGGCCGGAGCGCAGCGCAGCGGCGAGCCUGCGAGCCCGAGAGCGCUCCCCUGGCACUGGGGCUCCGCUCCCCUCCUCCACCCGCCCCCUCCGCCCCCUCCCCGCGCUCGCGCCCGCGCGCGCGGCCCUCCCCCGGCCCCCCCAACUGGCACGCGCAGUACCCAGACGUCAUCUUCUCGUUAACAUUCCUGGUCUUCCUUGGAGCACAAGCCGUGGGCCCACGGAGGCAUGUUACGACAAUGCCUAAGAGCUCCAGCACUCCGAAUAGCCCAGAAAAGCAUGUCCACUUGGAGAACCACAAGUACUUUUGUCAAGUUAGAGGUGAAGGUCAGGGUCUGAUGGUGACGUCUGUCUGGGCCGACGGGUACCAGGAGCUUUCCUUUGCUCCUUUAUGCAUUCAUUCUACAGACAUUUUAGUGGCGAGAAGGUUGCUAAGCAGGGUGAGACCCGCAAGAGAGAAGAGAAAGAGUCGAUCACUUCUGUCCUUCUGGUGACAUUAACCAGAGGGUAUCUUCCUGUGAGAGCGGAAGACACGUUGGUGGUUAGAAGAUCCCUGCGGCUGGCAUCCUGGAUUCAUGCCGGGUUGUGUGACCUUGGGCCAGUUAACCUUUCUGUGCCUCAUUCCCUGAGCUGAGGAGUGAAGAGCAAUGCGUCUCCUUUGGAGGCCUGUUGUGGGAUUGGAGGAGUUAAUGUGUAAAGGGCCUCCAGGCACAGGAGGGCGCUGUCUAAGCCUCUUUAUCAUCCUCUUAGGAGAAGCGUGGGGGGCCUAUCAGAGGCCACUGCCUGUGCUGAGCUGCAGAGCCUGCCGCAGAUGCACAGGCCCCAGAGAGGCGUGCGAGCAAGCGUGAUAGAGGGAUAAAGGACGCGGGCUCUGCAGACAACUUGGAUUCAAACCCCAGUCCCAGCCAGUGAGCUGGGCUAGUUACUUACCCUCACAGAGCCUCAGUUUCCUCAUCUGUAACAUGGGGCACUCCGAUAUCUUCUACCCAGUUGUCAUGCAGAUUAAAUAAUAUAAUGCUUGUGAAAGGCUUAGCACAGUGCCCAGCCUAUCGUUAGCAGUCCAUGAGUGUAGUCUGUUACUAUGAUGAUUGUUCUUGUGAGGAUAAGAAGAAACUGGAAGGUGAGGACUGGUAGUUGAGGGGCAUGAUAUGAGAACAAUUUUUGAUUGUGUACCAUGCCUUAGGCUAGAAGCUGGGGAAGUUAAAACGAAGGCAGGCCUUCAAGAGUUUAGCAUGCUGAUUUUCUAACUCUGCUGGCUGGAAUCCUGGAGGGAUUCAAUUAGGUCAUUUGGCAGUCCACACGCAUUUGAUAAUACCAAGUGUGUGCCAAGCACAGUGCAAAACUGAGGGCACAGAGAUGAAGGUCUCAAUCCACGUAAAUUAAGCUCUCGGCAUAGGAGCAACGUACAGCAGGUGCUCAACGAGGGCUGGUUCUAUGUUGUGUUUAGGAGAUGGAAGGAUCCUUAGGGCUGAGAGAUGAAGUUAUUCAUACCUCCCCACCCCACCAAUAAGAGCAAGCCCAAUCCUAGUUUCAUACAGACUAAAGAAGAGUUUCUAUAGUUUAAAAAAGUUUUAAAACAAACAACACUCCCAGUGGGCAAAGCAAUAAGUGUUCUAAAGGAGAUGAUGUGUUUUCUGAAACAGAGCUCCAUGACUGCUAUAUGACAGUGAAGAAGAGAGCAGGGGUUUUUCACAAGAGGCCACUCCAGACCACAGUUUCUCAGUCUCUCGGCACCAUUGGUAUUUUGGGCCGGAUAAUUCUUGGUUGUUGGUGGCUGCCCUGUGCAUUGUAGGGUGUUUGGCAGCAUCUCUAGCCACUGGAUGCCACUAGGUGCCAGUAACCCUCCAAUUUUGACACCAAAAUUGUCUCUAGACAAGCCAAAUGUCCCUGGGUAGCGGUGGCAGAAGAAAAAUCAUCAAGGUUGAGAACCACUGCCUUAGGGAGAGGUCUUUAAGGGAUGAAUGACCCUUCCUACUCAGGGGGCUAGUGGGGCCCAAGCUCCCAGUGCCUGACAGUAAGGCAGUACUGGGAGGUGGUGGGAGCAGGGCGAGGUUGGCAACAUUUCCUGAGCACCGACUAUGCAUUAGGUAUUCGCAGAGAUGAGCAAAGCAGGCACCCUUGCUGCCUUCAGAAAGUCUACUCUCUACUGCAGGGAAGUAAGACAUGGAAUGCUGCAUCAAGGAACUGUUGAACUUGAGUUUUGUUCAGUGGUAUGAAGGAGCAGUAGUGCGGUAAACUUACACUUGAGGUGGGAGGGAGGGCAGAGUUCAUGGAGCUGGAGGAAGAAAAGGCUUCCUGGAGGAAGUUGUGGUUAGGUAGAAUUGGCCAGGUAAAGAUCCUGUGUCAGGACAGGUCUCCGUCAGGCUGCAGAGUUUGGAUUUCAUGCCAAAAUCAUCAAGGGCGGUGGUGGCUGGCUUAGAGCUGUGUACCCAGAAAAGCAUGCUCUUCAUCUUAACCCAUCCUGUGGUGUGAACCCACUAUCUAUAGGGCCUUUCGAUGAGGUAACUUCCGUUAAGGUGUGGCCCAGCAGAAUCAGGAUGGACCUUAAUCCUUUACUGAAAGCCGGAUAGAGACGACCAGAGAGAGAGAAGCUAUGGGGAGCAGCCAGAAGCCAGAAGGCAAAGGAACCCCAAAGAGAAAGGAGAAGAUAUGACCAUGUGCAUUGCCAUGUGACAAAAAAACCAGGAACCCCAAAGAUUGCCAGUUGGCAAGAAGAUACUGACCCAGGAAGAAGCGAGCUUUCUAGCCUCUGAAACCUUGAGCCAAUAAAUUCCUGUUGUUAAGCCAGCCCAUUGCACGGAAUUUGUUUAGGAGCCAGGAAACUAAAACAGGAGCCGUUGCAGGCUUUUAAGUAGGAGUGACAGGAUAAACAAAUCGACUUCGAAAGAUAUUUCUUGCAGAUGAGUGGGGAAUGAUUCCGAAAUAGGAGACACUGGAGGCAGGUAGUCAAAAAUUCAGGUGAAGGGAAUGGAGCGCAAGGUAAGAUCUGGGAAGGGUUUUCAAAGGUAGACUCCAACACCCUUGGGGACACUUAGCUCUGCGAAGGAGAGGAGGGAUGGCUCGGUUCUCAGCUUUCUGGGAAGGAGUAAGAGAUGGAAGCAGUGAGUGGAAGUUUAGUUUGUCAGUCAAGGGAAGGAGAGUUAGGUGGCUUAAGGGAAAAGCAGAUGUAAAGGAAUGUUCCUUCAAACUGUUACAUUAAUAUGUUUGGGGCAAAAUUUUUUUUUAAUAAAAAUAAAAGUGCCUGCCAGCGUGACUCCAUUAAGUGAUGGGAGAAAGGCCAAGGAAAAGGAUGCGAUUAAAAAUGUAAAAUGAUAAAGAAAUAACUGAUAAAGCAAGGGGCCCAGGAAUAGGACAGAAUAGAACUAAAUUUUAGCACAGGUGUAAUAUAUAAGUUUGGGAAGGAAGGAGUAUAUUUUUUCCCCCAAGACAGGGUAGAUGGACAAUUCCUUAGGAUUGAAGCCUUAAAAAGAAAAAAAGAAAAAGAAAAUAAAGCCUCAGUUCUUCCAUCCUAAUAAGCUUAAAUACUCUCCUUUUGGUUAGGAAAGAAUAUGUAUCAAGGAAAAAUGUACAGGUGAAGAAGAAAAAUCAUCCAUUGAGAAGUUAAUUACUUGAUUCAGUGUCUUAAGUAUUGAAGUAGAAGAAAAUGGACACAACAGAUGUUUGUUGAGUGAAUGAAACAUAACCUGCAAAAGGAGACUUGGAGCAUAACUGAGGCCACGUCAUAGGUAUGCACUGUUGGUUAUUGGAGAUACCAGAUAAAUAACCGCCCUUGGAAUCAUACCAGUACCACCCUAGGGGCUUGUUUCAAGGGUUGCUGAUUUAUCUGAUGAUAGAAGCAAAGACUCCUGGUGUAUAGAGAGGAUGAGAGGUCAUCUUCUGGGCUGACUAUCCACCCAAUGCAGAGACCAAUAUCCCUCCCGGAUGCUUUUACAGUUUCUCUUAAACACCUCUAGUGAUGAGAAACUUGACCCCACUGAGCUAACCAGCCCAUUUUUUAUGGCUUCCAGUUCCAGGGCUUUUUUUUAAAAAAAGUAUUUAUUUAUUUGUUUGUCUGUUUGUUUGUUGAUAUAUUGGAGCCCAGGAUUGAACUUGGGACCCUGUAUAGGGGAAACCAGCCCCUAACUACUAAGCAACACCAGCUCCUUCCAGGGCUUUCCAAAGUUAAAAUUUGUUGACAGCAUGUUAUGUGUUGUACUCAUCCUGCUUGAUAUUCCUUAGAAGGAUCCUUCCUGAAGAAGCCAGUUUUCCCCGACAUUCUGGAAAUGAACUGCUGAUACCUAAUUGAAAAUCUGUGUCAAUUAUAGACCAGUAAAUAAAGUGUGUCUACCACUAGCAUUUUAAGAUGACUUGAUUUUCUAUCUGGUAGUUCUCAAACACCAGGAGUUAAUGCAAGCUUAGAUUCACCUCCAUCCUUAAUAUCCAGGGUUGAUUAACCUCUCUGAUUUGUUUCCACAGGGGAAAUGGAAUAUUCCCCAGGAUUCAAUAUCUGUUCAUACUCAUCUAGUCAGUAGGUAACUGCUCCAUACCAGAAAGCACACAGACCAAGAAUAAGUCCAUGUUGCCAUCCAAAGGCAGGAGCAGUGAUUUACAAAUUGAUAUUAAAUCAGCCCCAAGAAUAAUUACAAAUUCUGUCCUUACAAAUCUUCUGUAACCUAAUGAAAAGUGACAAAACUACAAGAAUUCUUUGGUACAUAAAGAAUGAGAUCCCUUAAGAGAGUGGAAAUUCCCAUAAGUGUAAAUGGGAUGACACUCUUCCUACAUAAACAUUUCUCGAUGAGAAUAGAUUUGGAUAUCUCAAGAAAGGAGACCCACAAUUUUAUAGGAAAAGAAAAUCGGGAUCCCCAUUAUGGGAAGAGCUUUUCUUUGUACAGGUCGUCAUAACAAGACACACACACA